Molecule: small nucleolar RNA, 107 nt
Filed under: Gossypium barbadense (sea-island cotton)
Lineage: Eukaryota; Viridiplantae; Streptophyta; Magnoliopsida; Malvales; Malvaceae
Also listed under: 2 other names
Description: Plant small nucleolar RNA R71
Rfam family: Plant small nucleolar RNA R71
About the family: R71 is a member of the C/D box family of snoRNAs containing the C (UGAUGA) and D (CUGA) box motifs. Multiple nearly identical copies of this snoRNA have been identified in Arabidopsis, and it is thought to function as a 2'-O-ribose methylation guide for 18S ribosomal RNA.
Source: Rfam by way of RNAcentral
AUCCCAUGAUGAGGACUCUUACGAAGUAACUCCUUGAAUCGCUCCCAAGCCUCACACAAAGACUCAUUAUCCAAUUGUUGGAAAGUUGUUAUCUCGUUCCUCAAAUU